GUAUGGUUGGGUGUGCAAAGUUUACAUUUUAAGGACCUCUGCUGCUGCCACUGUCAUUGUGGUUAAUGAUGGCUUUAAGGUUUAUUCUUAUUCCCAUAUCUUUGAGAGAGGAAGAGAGUGGGAUUGCUACCCACAUUUUAAUGAAGGUGGAGCUGAGCCGUAGAACUCUCUGGGAGCCAUCCAACCUGGCUGUGGCUCAUAACAAGGUAUUGAUCACUUCCUUUGGCCUGAGUGAGUCCAGGGUGCCUAGACAAGAGGUAGCAGCCUGUGGAUGUCCAGCACCUUUGCAGGGAAUACAGGGCCCAAUCUGGCACAUGCCCCUUUUCCUCCAGGCCCAGAGCAGGGGCUGUUGCCGAAAGGCUGUGGAGCAACAAGUUGACAUCUGACCUGACAUUUGCCUAUGAACGUUUGUCACACUUCCGCUGUGAAUUGCUGAGGCGAGGUGUCCAGGCCCAACCCCUCAAUGUAGGCUUCUGUGAGCAGGAGUUUGAACAGACCUGAGCCCCAGGCACCGAGGAGGGUGCUGGCUGUAGGUGAAUGGUAGUGGAGCCAGGCUUCCACUGCAUCCUGGCCAGGGGACGGAGCCCCUUGCCUUCGUGCCCCUUGCCUGCGUGCCCCUGUGCUUGGAGAGAAAGGGGCCGGUGCUGGCGCUCGCAUUCAAUAAAGAGUAAUGUGGCAUUUUUCUAUAAUAAACAUGGAUUACCUGUGUUUAAAAAAAAAA
RNAcentral lists this long non-coding RNA (721 nucleotides) under Homo sapiens (human). RNAcentral describes it as "non-protein coding lnc-CELF6-1:5". Lineage: Eukaryota; Metazoa; Chordata; Mammalia; Primates; Hominidae. The record is from RNAcentral.